CCUACGGGAGGCAGCAGUGGGGAAUAUUGCACAAUGGGGGAAAGCCUGAUGCAGCAACGCCGCGUGAAGGAAGACGGUUUUCGGAUUGUAAACUUCUAUCAAUAGGGAAGAAAGAGAUGACGGUACCUAAAUAAGAAGCCCCGGCUAACUACGUGCCAGCAGCCGCGGGAAUACGGGGGGGGCAAGCGUUAUCCGGAAUUACUGGUAGUAAAGGGGGAGUAGGGGGCAAGGUAGGCGAUAUGUGAAAGCCUUAAGCUUAACUAAAGUAUUGCAUAAAGAACUAUCUAGCGAUAGUACAGGAGAGGAAAGCGGAAUUCCUAGUGUAGCGGUGAAAUGCGUAGAGAUCAGGAAGAACACACGUGGCGAAGGCGGCCUUCUGGACUGAAACUGACGCUGAGGCUCGAAAGCGUGGGGAGCGAACAGGAUUAGAUACCCGUGUAGUC
This 443-nucleotide ribosomal RNA is filed under the name uncultured bacterium. RNAcentral's name for it is "partial 16S ribosomal RNA". It matches the Rfam family "Bacterial small subunit ribosomal RNA", at positions 338 to 795 of the family's 1533-position model. The record is from RNAcentral.